RNAcentral lists this ribosomal RNA (479 nucleotides) under uncultured bacterium. RNAcentral's name for it is "partial 16S ribosomal RNA". It matches the Rfam family "Bacterial small subunit ribosomal RNA", at positions 29 to 523 of the family's 1533-position model. The record is from RNAcentral.
AAUCAACGCUGGCGGCGUGCCUAACACAUGCAAGUCGAACGAGAAAGGGGCUUCGGCCCUGAGUAGAGUGGCGGACGGGUGAGUAACACGUGGGUGAUCUACCCUCCAGUGGGGGAUAACACAUCGAAAGGUGUGCUAAUACCGCAUGGAGUUCCGGUUGUCGCGAUCGGAAUGAAAGCAGCAAUGUGCUGGAGGAGGGGCCCGCGCCGGAUUAGCUAGUUGGUGGGGUGAUGGCCGACCAAGGCAACGAUCCGUAGCCGGCCUGAAAGGGUGACCGGCCACACUGGAACUGAGACACGGUCCAGACUCCUACGGGAGGCAGCAGUGGGGAAUUUUGCGCAAUGGGGGAAACCCUGACGCAGCAACGCCGCGUGGACGAUGAAGGCCUUUGGGUCGUAAAGUCCUGUCAGCAGGGAAAAACACAAUGAUGGUACCUGCAGAGGAAGCUCCGGCUAACUUCGUGCCAGCCGCCGCCGUAA